UGAUACAAAUUGGUAAAUGUUUCAAAAUGACCAAAGAUUCAGGUAAUAAACUUGUUGACUUUUGCAAUGAAAUUUCAAAUACAUCACCGUCAUCAUCAUCAUCAUCAUCAUCAUCAAGAAGAUGAAGGAAUCAGCCAUUAAUAAGGUAACACUGUGGACUAAUUUAAAUCGAUUUGUAUUAGUUAAAAUGUGAUGUAAUGUGAAGCUGAAAAAACGAAACCAAUGAAAACCAACAUAAGAAAUACCUGCAAACACCUUAACACCUCAUGCAGUGAAUCUGAUAAAUCACAUGCAGAGAAGCAUUUAUCUGAUGUACAUUGAUGAACAUGAUGCUGAAACUACAUGGGUAACUUACGGUCAACUUGAUUAUCUUUUUUUUAUCAUCAUCAUCAUCAUCAUCAUCUCAUUAUCAGUAACUUUCUAACUAUUAACAGACCAUCAAGAGAGAUCAACGUUUCAAAUCAAAAAUGUUGAUUAGCUGAUAAUGAUUGAAAGUGAUUCUAAUCAUUGGUUUGCAAUAUCAUGUUGAUGAUAUGGUUAACAGUAUUAAUAGUUGUUGAUAUUUACUUUGCAAUGUUUUUAUUGAUGCAAACACAAUCUGCACAAAAUAUGCCCUAAGGUGUUAUUGUGACUUUUUCAUCUCUACAUCAUUUACUUUCUGAAACUUUUUUUUAUCAUCAGUCUGCAUCAUCUCAUAUCAAUGAGAUUCAGAGGAUUCCAUGGAUUCAUCAUCAUCAUCAACAUGCUAAUAUAAUCUUUGAAUGAGUAUGAACCAUUCAUUCAAUUACCCUGAUUAUCAUCAAGUUACAAUUUGGAAUCCAAAUUCAAUUUCAAUGGAAAUCAUUUUAUCACUCAAUUAAUAUCAUGGAUGAGAUGGCGAAAAAAUCUUGCUCGUUUUGAAUCAUUGAACCAUUGAGACAGAACUUUUUUUUUCACUUCUCAUUUUUCCUUCAACAUUUUACUUGUCAGAAAAAUGAUAAUAAAAAGACAAAGAUGAUAAUGAUGGAUUCUAUGGGAGAACCAGAGCCAGAGAGAGAAAAUGAACAAAAAGAAUAAAUUUUCUUCAUUUUUUGCUAGUUUUCGAAAGCAGGAAAAAAUAAUACACCCAAAAUUUCAGAGCCUCUCAUGAUAACAUCAAUUCCCUAUCAACAAUACCUUUGAUUUCCCAUUAUGUUUAUCAAACAUCAUUCGUUUACCUUUCCAACAAUCAACUGGGAAUCAGAACUUUUUUUUUCUUCAUUUUUCCAUCCAUCAUGAAACAGAUUCAACAGUAAUAAUAAUCAACACAGAAGAAUCAAAGUGAAUCAUGUCCAAUAUAAAAAUUUUCGAUUCUUUUUCUAUUAAUAUCUCAUCUCAAUCAGAAUGAGAAUUUUCUGUUCUCAUGGAAAUAAAGAUACAAUUUCAUGAGUAUAAAAAAAGAUUCAUUAUAUUGAACAUUCCAAGAAGAAGAGACUGAGUAUCUCUCCAAGAAAAAGUAAUCAUGGAAUGAAAAUUAUUCACAGAAAAUAUAAUAAUAAAGAAU
Long non-coding RNA from Panonychus citri (citrus red mite), 1522 nucleotides. RefSeq lists it as uncharacterized. The transcript is spliced from 4 exons. NCBI's taxonomy places the organism in Eukaryota, Metazoa, Arthropoda, Arachnida, Trombidiformes, Tetranychidae. The record is from RefSeq and is a predicted model, not a curated record.